This 253-nucleotide ribosomal RNA is filed under the name uncultured bacterium. RNAcentral describes it as "partial 16S ribosomal RNA". It matches the Rfam family "Bacterial small subunit ribosomal RNA", at positions 524 to 776 of the family's 1533-position model. The record is from RNAcentral.
UACGUAGGGUGCGAGCGUUGUCCGGAAUCAUUGGGCGUAAAGGGCUCGUAGGCGGUCCAUCGCGUCGGGAGUGAAACGCUGGGGCUUAACCCCAGUCCUGCUUUCGAUACGGGUGGACUAGAGGUAGGCAGGGGAGAAUGGAAUUCCUGGUGUAGCGGUGAAAUGCGCAGAUAUCAGGAGGAACACCGGUGGCGAAGGCGGCAUUCUGGACUACAACUGACACUGAGGAACGAAAGCCAGGGGAGCAAACGGG